CUAGUUAUCUUAACAGAAAAAUAUGAUAUUUUAGAAAAGUCAACAUUACGCAAACACAUUACACGUAAACGCAGCCACUUCUAGAAUAUAGGACAAACCAUGUAGGGAACAGUCCAACAACAACUACAAAAUAAAAAAUCUGUUACAGAACCAAACAUACAUAUAACAUAGAUGUAAUACCAACAAGACACAAUACUUCGACAGGGAACUCCGCCAGUCGCCAUUGCUCGAAGUCACUGUCCUUCUCCAAUUGGUCGAUCCUGUCAUUGAGAUUCUCAAUCAUUUCUUUAAGUUCAAUAUUCCUUAAGACCAAGUACUCGUAAGCUAGAACACCAUCUUCUUCAUUGGGGUCGUCAUUAUAUUCUUUUUUUCUUGCACCCAAAUAAACUGUUGCAUCCGCCAUUGACUUCUCGACAUCCAAAGUACUGAUCCGUGUGACCAUCCACGUUAUUAUUGUCGAAUGGAAAGAUACAUGCUGGUAGGUUACAAAAGCACGUCACUUUUAGAGUCAUUUUACAAACAAUAAGGAAGGAGUGGAGAAUAAGUGGAGCAUAAGUGGAGAAUGAGAGGUUGUUAAAAAUAUAUAAAAAGAAAGUAGUGUUUAUUUCACUUCAACUAUCUGCCUUUACUUUAACCACUUUUAUUAAAUUAGGAGGGUGACCAACUACACUAACCCAAAUUAAAUGUUGUCAUAAAGGCAGUAGUGUUAUCCACACAUUACAUACAUGUUACGUGUAUGUUAUAUGAUUAAAAUUUUACUCAAACAAAUAAUAUUGCUACCUAGAAAUGUACAAAGUUGAUAUUUUGAUUGCCUUUGACACCUUACAUGCUAUGAAACUGAGAUACAUAGCUAAACAUAAAAAAUUUGAUGUUAAGAUUGACAUUUUGAAAGCUUUUGACACAAUUGAUUGGUGACACCUACAGGAAAUCUUGAAGCAGCUUGAACUUGCACUAAGAUGGGUGAAGUGGAUCAUGAUGUGUGUGCAGUCGGUAGAAUAUCUAGUUGCGGUCAACUCCGAGUUGGUGUGGCCGAUUGUGCCAGAGAGGGGCCUUAGAAAAGGGUGCCCACUAUCACCAUUUCUUUUUGUCUUGGGUACCGAAGGAUUGUCAGCUCUUCUGAGAAGAGAGAAGUGGGUUGGCCAAAUCCAUGGGUGUGCGGGUUUGCAGGCGAGCCCCGACGAUGUCACACCUUCUUUUUAUUGACAAUAGUUUCUUCUUUUUUGUAUAACAUGGAUCGAGGAGGUGAGGCACAUGUAACAAAUUGUUAGACUAUACGAAGGGUCAUCUGGCCUGUUCAUUAACCUUCAGAAAUCGAGAGUGUUCUUCAACCCUCAUACGCAUAUGAUGAUUAGAGUAGGAGUCAGGAAUAUAUUGGAGAUCCAUAUAGCACUAGACACAUGACCAUAUUUGGGGAUGCCUUCACUAGUGGGACAAAGCAAAAGAGCAAUUUUCAACUCUCUGAAAGAGAGAAUUUGGAGGCGGCAACAAGGUUAUUGGGGGGAACCCAUUGUCAAAGGGUAGGAAGGAGAUUCUUCUUAAAGUUGUUGCUCAAGUUUUACAUGUGUAUUAUAUGAAUGUCUCCUUAGUGCCAGGUAUGCUUCUGAAGAUUUAGCAGAUGAUCAAUAGUUUCUAGUGGGGGCAAAGGGUAAAGGAGGAGGCAAUGUUAUAUUGAUGAGAUGGGAACGUUUGUGUGUGCAGAAAGAAUUAGGUGGGAUGGGAUUCCUUGAUCUAUACGGUUUUAACGUGGAAAUGCUUGGUAAACAGGAUUGGCAGCUUUUCACAAAUAGUUUGACUUUGAUGAGCAGAAUCCUCAAAGCUAAAUAUUAUCUGACAAGAGAUUUUUUAUCGACUAAUCUAGGCUCAAAUUCAAGUCUCACUUGGCGUAGUAUUGUGGAGGCGAGGGUGGCUAUGCUAGAAGGGUAUCGUUGGAAGGUUGGAAAUGGACAUCAGAUUCGAGUAUGGAUAGAUCCAUGGAUAUGCAAGGAAUGUAACAUGCAUGUGGAAUCGGAUUCACCUUUCCUUAGUUGGAUUUGUGUGUUAGUGCUCUUAUUGAGCCUCAUAGUACAUAUUGGGAAAAGCAUAGGGUGUGCAGCUUAUUCCACCCAUGUGAGGCAUAUGUGAUUCUGGCUAUGCUGAUUGUGGGAAAUGGGGAGGACCGGCCGAUUUGGACUCUUAGCAAAAAUCGAGAUUAUAGUGUGCGAUCAGCCUAUCGGCUAUUGUUAGAGCAUAGUGAAAGUACUAGACGAAGUUGUGGGAUUUGAAGAUCUCGCCGGAAUUAAAACACUUUGCUUGAAGAGUAGUGCGUGGUGUCCUGGCAACGCGGGAUAAUCUGCAGAACCGGCAUAUCGAUGUAUCAUGGGAAUGUGGUGUUGGCUUGAGUGAGAUUAAAAUAGGGUGGAAUCUCUUCUUAGAAUGUAGCUUCGCAUGGGAAUGUUGGGAAGCUGAUGGUGUGAGCAGCAUGGUGGAAAGUACACAAAACAGGAGGGAGUCUAUUGAGGAGUGGGUUGAUAUUAUUUUGAAAUAGACUCUAGCACCAGCUAUUCAAAAGAUUGUGGCGAUUAUAUGAGUCUUGUGGCAGGAGAGAAUUGACAGGGUGUGAAAUGCUAGCGUUUGGUCCUUUUCUCAUAGUAAAGUGAGUGAGACCUCCCGAGUUUCCUUAAAGGCACCCACCGGCAGAGCGUUACUUCAAAUGCAACAUUGAUGCCACGGUUUUCACAGAUAGCAGGGAGUUCAGCAUUGGCCUUUGCCUGUGUGAAGAUUUAGGAGAGUUAGUGUAGCUUAAGACAUGCAGGAGGUGAGGUAGCAGUGUUUUGAAAGAAGGGGAAGCAAUAGCUCUGUUGCAUGGUGUGAAACCCAAUCGAAACAUGUGGUUUGACCCAUGCAUUUACUUCCCUGUUCACUCAUCACAUAAUCAUAUAUAAACAUAGACAAUAAAGUCUGAAUCCUGAAUCUCAUCAUAACAUGGUAAACAACAACGUAUGAAAGCAUAGCAACUAAGGCUUGAAAUCAAAUACCAAACAUCCAUGAAAAAUCAUCCCAAACAGGGAAAAAGUGAAAUAAUUGAAAACAUCUGAAAUUUGAAUAUAUGAAAACACCUAAAAACAUGAAAAUGGAUAAUUGAGGUCCUCAAAGGUACCUCUAUCUACGACUCCCGAAGCCACUCGGUCGAGGUGUCACUACUGCUCGGGUAGCUCUCUUAGGAGGCAUUUUCUCAUGAAUUUCCAUAUUCGUUCAUACAAGAAGAAAAGACUAGGUCAGUAAUAACCCCUGAAUUAAUAAACUUGAUUUGCGUAGAACUGAACUAGAAUCUAGUAAUGUGACCCUAUGGUCCCGUAUGCAUCAACCACCCCUAACUGUUAGCGGCCAGCCUCAUGGUGGAUCAGACCAUGAAACUAUCCUGAAUACCAUGUGACUAACAUCCAUAGGCAUACUCAGCGCCUCUUGCCUGAGCCUGAACUAUAACCUGGAAGAUUGUGCAAUCCAUGGGUGGGUGACCAACGUGUAUCGGGAGCUAUCUAGAUAAACUUAAUCCUGUCCUAACCUGAACAGUGAAUCACACAUAGCAGUUCAAUUGCCAAAACCAUAUGUUCAAAAUACUACAAUUACCUGUACAAUAGAUCACACGUUAUUGUACUGUGUAGAGAGCCAUGCUCUGCAUCACAACACCUAUACAGUAGACCAAAUGCUAAUGUACAGUCCUGAGAGCCUUGCUCUGAAUCACAACACAUGUACAGUAGAUCACACGCUACUGUAUAGUCUUGAGAACCCGAUCAUUGUAUUCCUAACAACAUAUUACAGUUGUGUGCUUAAAGAAGAAAAUUAAUCCUACACCCCACCUUUGAUAUGCUCUACUAGAAGAGUCUUAUAUCAAGAUGCCUUUCCAGCGCUCUAUAUCAAAAUCCACCUCAUGUACUACUGGGACAUCCUUGAUCCAUCCAUCUGUAUCUAGAAGAACAUGAGCUAGGAAAGCUUCACAUCCUCCCUUGAUCAGUCUCUCUGCCCUCAAGGGUGAUAUGAAAGGACGUUCGCGGUACUCUAACCCCUGAACCCCAAAGAUGACAACAUCCUCUUUAUUAGGAGUGGAUAACUUGAUCGUCUUCUUCUUAUAGUGCACCAUCGCUCCAUGGUGCUCCAGCCAAUCCAUUCUCAAGAUCAUAUCGAACUCAUCAAAAGGAAGAAAGAUGAGGUUCACUGUGAACUCCCUAUCCUCCCUCUACCCAAGACUCCACCAAGAGAGUCUUCCCUACUGGGUACUAACUCGGAAUGAUCUAUUUAUCCUAUUAGGCAUAAAGGACAAAAGACAAAUGACAGUGGCAGAGAUGAAAGAGUAUGAAGCACCCGUAUCAAACAAAGCAUGAAAGAAUUUUCAAGAAAUAACCACCGUACCCGUGAUGGUAUCUGAAGCGACCUCUGCCUCAGAUCUGGUGGCAUGCACCCUACUCUGUGCCUCUAUGUUUCUCCCUUGAAACAUUUGUUGCCCAAGGGAACUGCAUUAGCUCUCAUAAGUGGAGCCUUAAUUUUUCCACCUCCGGUCUGACUCCUAGACGGAGUCAGUCCCUGUCGUACCAUCGCCUAUGACGCUACUCGCUUGCUCAGCCUAGUGCACUCUCGAGCAAAGUAUCCCAGCUGCCCGCACCAAAAGCAAACCCCUGCUUUCUUUAGAAAAGCUCCCUAGUGCCGCAUCGCACACUCUGGUCAAAGGUGAUGAUCAAGCCCUAUAGUAGACUGCUUCUAUUGCUCUGUUAGGGUGAUAGAGGUAGAGAACUGAGUCUGUGGUGCAGGAGUACCAUGAUGUGUAUCCCUCCUCCUCUUAGGUGAUGGCGGCAGCUACGACCCGCCUCAAGCUACCUUCCUCUUCUUCUCCUCCUGCCAAGCAUGGCCCUCUACCUUCCGCACACCCUCAAAGUGUUCAGCCCUCAAGGCUACUGCCUUGGUAUCUGCCAAGGAAUCCAUGUCACUACUAGUGACCUCGAUCUGAAAUGCGGUCUUAGCCCAUCCAGGAAAAUCUGCUUCACGUCCUCCAUCUUUUGCUCAGGGGAGCCCUUGUACCACCUGCUCAACUUGAUGUUAUGUUGUAGUAGUCAACCAACUUCAUCUCUCCCUAUCUGAGACUGAAAAAAACAGCCCUCUUAUUCUGCUGCCACUGCUCUGGCAUGACCUCCUUCUUGAAAAUGACUAAGAACUCUUCUCAGUCCCUUCCAAAUAGAUCAUCUUCAACCUCCAACUAACUGCUCCACCACCCCUUUGUUGCACCUCUCAACAGGUAAACAACAUACAACACUCUCUGCUCUCACGCAUUGGUCAGGUAUGUCAGCCAAUCAACUGCUAACUGAGGAUCUGUAGUCUUCCCAUCAAAAGUAAUGGAGCCCACAUAAGUCAGCUCCUUGAAAUCCAACCUAAGCAGAAAUGGAUCCCUCAUCAUCUCGACCGACCCCUAGUGAUCUCUACACACUUAAAGGUACCAUUCAACAUCCCUUUUUUCUUAAAACUUAUCUCUAUUUCUAAAAAACGUUGAAAACUAUUUUCAAAAACCUCGACCAUGCCUGUGGUGUACCCUUCGUCACACCCGUGGAAAGCACGUAGCCAUGCCCGUGACUAGCAUCACCACGCCCGUGAUAUACAUCCCUUCACGCCCGUGCCAAAUGACUGACCACACCCGUGGUCAUCACUUAGUCACAGCCAUUACCCACAAAUAGCCACGCAUGUGGUGGGUUGUCCAUCAUGUCUGUGAUGUACUAUCCGCCACGCCGGUGGCUGACCCAUCCAUUUCAAAAACAUACACAAUAAAGACUGAAUCCUGAAUGUCAUCAUAACAUGAUAAACGACAACGUAUGAAAACUGAGCAACUAAGGCUCGAAAUCAAAUACUAAACAUCCAUGAAAAAUCAUACCAAACAGGGGAAGUCAACAUCAAGAGAUAAGCAACUAAAAUAAUUGAAAAUAUCUGAAAUCCGAAUACAUGAAAACAUGUGAAAACAUGAAAAGGGAUAAUUGACGUCCUCCAAGGUACCUCUCUUUACGAAUUCUGGAGCCACUCAAUCGAGGUGUCGCUGCUGCUCGUGUAGCUCUCUUAGUCGACAUUUGCUCAUGAGGUUCCAUAGUCGUUCAUACAAGAAGAAAAGACGGGGUCAGUGAUAAGCACUGAGUGACUAAACCAGACUUGCGUAGAACUAAACUAGCAUCUAGUAAUAUGACCAUGUUGUCUUGUAGGCAUCAACCUAGCAUCAGCCACCCCUAGCCGUGAGCGAGCGGUCUCAUGGUGGAUCAGACCAUGAAACCACACUGAAUACCGAGUGAGUAGCAUCUGUAGGUAUACUCAACAUGUCCUACUUGAGCCUGAACUGUAACUUGGGGGAUUGCGUAAUCGAUGGGUGGGUGACCAAUGCGUAAUCGAGAGCUAUUUAGCUAAGCCUAAUCUUGUCCUAACAUGAACUGUGAAUCACACCCCACAGUUCAAUCGCGAAGAGCUUGAAAUAGUACAACUGUCUGUACAGUAGAUCACACGCUAUUGCACAAUCCUGAGAGCCCUGCUCUUAAUCACAACACAUGUGUAGUAUAUCACACGCUAUUGUACAAUCAUAAGAGACUUCCUCUGAAUCAAAACACCUAUACAAUAGAUCACAUGCUACAAUACAGUCCUGAGAACCCGAUCAUUGGAUUUCUGACAACAUAUUACAGUUCUAUGCUUAAGGCAAAAAAUUAUCCUAACCCCCACCUCUGAUAUGGUCUACUAGUAAAGUCUUAUAUCAAGAUGUCUUUCCAGAGCUCAAGUCUCCCAUUCCGUUUGACUUGAAGAGAUCAAUCAAAGGAUUGAAAUCCCAAAACCCCAAUCCUAAACUGUCAGGAUUUACCCCAAUCCUAAACGUAGGUUUCCAAUCAAAGGACAGAUUACUUUCUGAAGCUUCCGCCCGAUCUCUAAACCUCUGCUAUCAGGCUGGGAUCGAUCAACUCUGCCUCCUCCACCACCUAAAAGUAAUCGCCGUUCGUCAAAUGAUUUCCAAGUUUUACCGUUUCUGUAAAUUUUGAGUUGUUCUGGCAGUGAACUUCGAACCAGCAAAAAAAAUUAUGGAGUUUGGAGACAUCAUCCUCCAAUGCCAUAUCAUUUUAUGUUUAAACUGUUAUAUAUGGUUAGCUUUGUAAGAAGGAAAAGUAACGACGCGGUUCAUGUGUUAGCUAAGCAGUCUAAGUUUAUUGUGUCUCCUAGUGUUGGGGUUACACCUCCUCAGUUUUUACAACCUUGUUUAAAUAAUAUGUUUUGAGAUUUAUAAAUAAUAAAUAAGUACCGAUAUGUUCAAGAAAAAAUAACAAACACAUAAUAUUCCUUGCAAUACCCAGCAAACAUCCAUAAUAGAGCAUAAAGAUAACAUAGUUAUACAGCAACCUAAUAAACAUAAGGCUUAAAACUUUACAUUGACACAAACUAUAGCUUAAUUAUACGUUUAUAUUGGUAUAUAUUAUAAUUUCAGAAAUGUCACAACCUAUCAAAGCUUUCAAAACAUCUGGCACGACGUUAAAUUUCGUCCAUUUUUGUUUGUAUGAGCUGAAACUUUUACAUAUGUGGCAUAAAAGUUGGGAAGGUGGCAAGUUUAGGGUUGCUAACUGGAUUCGGUAUUUCUUACUAGUGGUGUGUACAUUAAAAAAGAAAAUUUAAAAUUUGGCAGAAAUUAAAAUUUAGGUGAAUUUUUGGUAGGCCCCCUCCCAUUAGAUCCCCCGUCACGUAAGCCUAUUACUGAGUAGACAUUGAUAAUUAGUUGGUUUAGUCCUUCUACAAAUUGAUUGGUUCGUGCAAUUCCCCUACUAUAUAUAUUUGCAAGUUAUAAUUACUAAUCUUCAGAAGUUUUCAGCUGUUACCUCGAAACCCAAUAAAACUCAAACCGAACCCUUCAUAGAUUAGGAUCAAACCCUUGAAUAGUUUUUUUUUACCUUUGUUUUUGGAAUCUAUUUUGUUUUUUUUGCUUGGUUAUGCUUAAGGAAAUUGAAGGUUUUCUGCACUUGCAUGCGUAAGUCUUUAGUGACAUCUUAUGAUUUGGUUUGGUGUCUUUUUAUUGAUGAAUAUGAGAAUGGUAGUGGCCUUAGCAGGAUUGUAGUUCAGCCUUAAGCACACUACAUUAUAUAUUUAGUAUUACAUUAUGUUUCCAAUUCUAAUUAGUCUGAAUUGAUGCAGCGUAGGAAAUGAUCAAGGAUUUUUCCAUAUUGGACAAGGGAAUCCAGCUUGAUCAAAGAACUGCAUUCAGCUUAGGUUGUCAAACGAAAAAAAUGCAAAACAAAGAAAGAUUUUAACUUCUGGAGAGAAUUAAGGUGUUUGGGGAAGAGUUAGAUGAGUUGUAUACCUUUGCUGCUUCUUUUCCUUCUCCAGAGUAGGCGAGUAGACAGUCUCACCACCUGAUGACAACUAAAGGUCAUCAAACAGAGCAAAAAUCUUCAGGGGUACGGUUUGAACUACCCCUUAUGAUUAUAUUUACCACAAAAUCAAAAUGAUUAUUCGAUCUAACUCAUAAAAAGAUAGUCGGGUGAAAAUGCAUGUCUCAACCGAACAAUUCAAUGAAUAUUUCGAUUUAGACUUCAAAUCGAGCUCAAACUAUUUGUGCGGUAGAUUUUAGUUAUUAAUGAAACUACGAGAAUAAAAAAAAGUAUAAUUGAAAUAUUUGAUGGUUCGUAGGGUCAUUAAUUAAGGUGCACAGUUAACAUUUAUGUAACGUCACGUUGGGGUCUACAGGUAGGGUGGUCUGUCGAAGUAUGAUACUAAAAUUUAUUUGAAGGUUGGCCACGAGAAAUUAGAAACUUUAUUUUCAGUUUAUGAGUCACAACUAGUACGCGCUUUGUUACGCUGACGUCUAUCACAUGGUCUCCACAGAGUUCUCCUCCGUAAAUAAACGAAAGUAGGUGAAUCAUUUGGAUAAACUCUCUUCAGCCGUCGUCGUGACGUCGAUUGGAAUCUGAAGCUAAAGAUCCUAGAUCUGGUAACAAAACACCAUGGUGAAGGCUUCUAAAUUUUAUGUCUAAAGAUAACGUUAAUUCACUUCUUUAAAUUCCUUUCUUUCGUUUUGAACUCUUCUAAAUAUUGUAUAGCUUCGCAAAGAGUUGUUGACGUUGAUUUUUCGCAUUGAGAAUACGAUACGACACUAAUACUGCAGCCUAUCAGCGUGCAUGAGACUCGAGUUUUCCCAUUGUUAGUUUGGUCGUUGUAAACCUACCUUGAUAAUGCUCCAUGUACAUCAGCGCGUACUACCGUUUUGUGUUAUCUAGCUGAAUCGGCAAAGAAGGGACCUUCCAUGGGAAUGGUCCUAUGUUCAAACCACUGACUUCCAAAAUGACGUUCCUAACAUGCAUAAUCAGUCUUGGCUUGGUCGGUUUGUAAUAUCGCUUAUGUGCAAAAUCACCAAUACAAGUCAUGUUUUUUAGGGCUGGAAAACGGAUACAGAUUAUUUGGAUUUAACCAAAUCUGAAGAUCAAACAUCGGAUAACAGAUAUUUGCUACCAGUAUAGUUUGGAUAAUGGGUAAGGAUACGGUUUUGAAAUUUAGCUUCGAAGCGGAUAUAUAAAUAUUUGCUAUCCGCAUCCUUUUACCCAAAUACAAUAGAAAAUAACUGUAACUAAAAAUUUGUACAACCUAAUAACCGAUUUUAGCUAUUUAAUGGGGAAACAUACAUUAGACUAUGAUUUGCUUAGUGUGAAAAUUAUUAUAUUGAGAUUUGUAUUUUUGACUUACAAAUUUGUAAAAUGUUCAAAAGACGACAUUUUUUGGGCGGAUGAAAAUCGAUAUUUGAAUUUUAUUUGGAUAAUUAUUUGGAUAAUCAAUUAUAUAUGGAACCGGUUGAAAAAUGAUAUAGGUUAAUGUUAACCGCUCAUUAUAUUCAAAAUAGAUAGAAUUAGUCAUUUUAGUCCUAAAGUCCAUUCUCUACCUCCACGCAGGCAGCAUAUUGGAAGAUAAGAAAAACACUUUAAUGGUAAUAAUGCAAUCCAUCUAAUAAAAACUCUAAGAGGACGUUUGUAACUAACCAUUAUAGUAGUAGGGAAGCAGAAUCGUGUUUAUUUGGAGUUCCCUAUUAAGCUGGUGGGCCAUGGCAUCUAUACUGGUGGUGCAGAUAUCUCGACCGAACUGCAUUGUUUUCAAUUCAAACAUAUGCAGCUUUAUCUAAGGGAAAAAUACAUACCAAUCUUGUAGGAGAUGAAAGAAUGUAGGUCACAAUCUUUAGGGAGAUGAAGAUGAUGGUUUAGUUGUACGCUUCAAGGACUUCCUGCUGGAAUUCGAACCGUAAUAGUUGGGCCAUUAUGUAUUUGUUACGCUGCAUUUACGUCCACCG
This 10303-nucleotide long non-coding RNA is filed under the name Linum usitatissimum (flax). RNAcentral describes it as "long non-coding RNA (LUSI_LNC008332)". Lineage: Eukaryota; Viridiplantae; Streptophyta; Magnoliopsida; Malpighiales; Linaceae. The record is from RNAcentral.